GGAUUGUGGCUCAAUGGUAGAGAGCUUGUCUCGCAUGUGUGAGGCACUGGGUUCAAUCCUCAGCACCA
RNAcentral lists this transfer RNA (68 nucleotides) under Marmota monax (woodchuck). RNAcentral's name for it is "tRNA.Ala". Lineage: Eukaryota; Metazoa; Chordata; Mammalia; Rodentia; Sciuridae. The record is from RNAcentral.